Molecule: transfer RNA, 86 nt
Filed under: Nitrososphaerota archaeon
Lineage: Archaea; Thermoproteati; Nitrososphaerota
Also listed under: 1 other name
Description: Thaumarchaeota archaeon (marine metagenome) tRNA-Gln
Rfam family: tRNA
About the family: Transfer RNA (tRNA) molecules are approximately 80 nucleotides in length. Their secondary structure includes four short double-helical elements and three loops (D, anti-codon, and T loops).
Source: RNAcentral
AGCCCUGUCGUCUAGUUGGUCAAAUUAAUGACUAAGGACACGAGGUUCUGGUCCUCGAAACUCCAGUUCGAAUCUGGGCGGGGCUA